UUCCGGUUGAUCCUGCCGGACCCUACUGCUAUCGGGGUGGGACUAAGACAUGCGUGUCGCCCAAGCAAGUCGUGGCAUACGGCUCAGUAACACGUGGCUAACCUACCCUUGAGACGGAGACAACCCCGGGAAACUGGGGCUAAUCCCAGAUAGAUGAGAACUCCUGGAACGGGUUCUCGUCCAAAUGCUCCGUCGCUCAAGGAUGGGGCCGCGGCCGAUCAGGCUGUUGGUGAGGCAACGGCUCACCAAACCUUUAACCGGUACGGGCCGUGAGAGCGGUAGCCCGGAGAUGGGCACUGAGACAAGGGCCCAGGCCCUACGGGGCGCAGCAGUCGCGAAAACUCCGCAAUGCACGAAAGUGUGACGGGGCUACCCCGAGUGCCGUCCGCUGAGGAUGGCUUUUCCUCGGUGUAACUAGCCGGGGGAAUAAGGGGAGGGCAAGAUUGGUGUCAGCCGCCGCGGUAAAACCAACUCCCCGAGUGGUCGGGAUGAUUAUUGGGCUUAAAGCGUCCGUAGCCGGUUCGGCAAGUUCUCCGUUAAAUCUGACGUCCGAAGCGUCAGGCCGCGGAGAAUACUGCCGGGCUUGGGAGUGGGAGAGGCCGACGGUAUUCCCUGGGGAGGGGUAAAAUCCUUAGAGCCAGGGAGGACCAUCAGUGGCGAAGGCGGUCGGCUAGAACGCGCCCGACGGUGAGGGAUGAAAGCUGGGGGAGCGAACCGGAUUAGAUACCCGGGUAGUCCCAGCUGUAAACGAUGCAGGCUAGGUGUUUGGGCGGCCACGAGCCGCUCUAGUGCCGCAGGGAAGUCGUUAAGCCUGCCGCCCGGGGAGUACGGCCGCAAGGCUGAAACUUAAAGGAAUUGGCGGGGGAGCACCACAAGGGGUGAAGCUUGCGGUUUAAUUGGAGUCAACGCCGGA
This 913-nucleotide ribosomal RNA is filed under the name uncultured archaeon. Its description in RNAcentral is "bacterial SSU rRNA". It matches the Rfam family "Archaeal small subunit ribosomal RNA", at positions 1 to 922 of the family's 1478-position model. The record is from RNAcentral.